RNAcentral lists this ribosomal RNA (398 nucleotides) under uncultured bacterium. Its description in RNAcentral is "partial 16S ribosomal RNA". It matches the Rfam family "Bacterial small subunit ribosomal RNA", at positions 338 to 733 of the family's 1533-position model. The record is from RNAcentral.
CCUACGGGUGGCAGCAGUGAGGAAUAUUGGUCAAUGGGCGUAAGCCUGAACCAGCCAAGUCGCGUGAGGGAUGAAGGUUCUAUGCAUUGUAAACUUCUUUUAUAAGGGAAUAAAGUGUGGGACGUGUCCUUGUUUGUAUGUACCUUAUGAAUAAGGAUCGGCUCACUCCGUGCCAGCAGCCGCGGUAAUACGGAGGAUCCGAGCGUUAUCCGGAUUUAUUGGGUUUAAAGGGUGCGUAGGCGGCCUUUUAAGUCAGCGGUGAAAGUCUGUGGCUCAACCAUAGAAGUGCCGUUGAAACUGGGAGGCUUGAGUAUGUUUGAGGCAGGCGGAAUGCGUGGUGUAGCGGUGAAAUGCUUAGAUAUCACGCAGAACCCCGAUUGCGAAGGCAGCCUGCCAGG